UGAACAGCCUUGCCAUAAAGAGAAUAAGAAAAAUGAAGUGACACCAGUUGGGGGGAAGUGGGACUAGGCAGCAUUUGGAUGACAGAAAAAAGAAAAACAAGACUAAUUAACAAUUCAAAGGCAGUUUGAUUUGUUUCUGAAACAUGCAGCUCAUAAUGCUGACCAAAGUGCCCUGUGAAAAUGACAUGGGAAGCAGAAGACCUAGAACCUGCCCAUAGAUAAUUUCCAUCAACAGAUAUGAAGACAAAGUACUUGGAAUGGUGACAGUAUGCACAUCUAGGUUCAGAUCCUCUGGUACAGCUGAGAUCGGCAGCAGACCAUUAGCAGGAUCAAGCAAAACUUGAAUUUUGAAAACAACAAAGAAAAUGAGAGCAGAGAAAAG
This is a long non-coding RNA of Suricata suricatta (meerkat), 382 nucleotides long. RefSeq lists it as uncharacterized. The transcript is spliced from 6 exons. The record is from RefSeq and is a predicted model, not a curated record. NCBI's taxonomy places the organism in Eukaryota, Metazoa, Chordata, Mammalia, Carnivora, Herpestidae.